UUACAUGCAUAAAAACCUUCAUAACACACAAGGGGACGGGUAAUAACCAGAAAAGCAAGACAUGGGACCUUUAAUUCCCAAAUGUCCCAAUGCAUAAUAAGUAAGAAUGAAGAAUAACAUUGAAGGACUGAGCAUAAGAAAAAAGUGCAAUCUACCUCACCUCAAUACUGCCCAUGUGGACUUUUGCAGUUAGUAAUCUGAUCCAUAAAGCUCAAAGACGCACACAGACUCCACAAGGAGCCCCAUGGGAACAUAAAUACAUGUGAAGACUUCUGCUGGUGGCCAUAUUUGGCUCGUUUCAAACUGGAGGGCAGCUAGCCAAAGUUUGUUUGCACUGACAAGUGCACAGAUGGCUAUGUAUCUUUAAAACAUGACAUUCACACUUUCUAAAUAUUGAGGGAGAUGGAUGUGGUGAGCAAGGGAAUAUGGUUUGCAAUUGUUUCACUUUAAUACUGACGUAACUACUUGCAAUAACCAUCACCAAAUAAUCUACAGUAACUCAUAACACUUUACACCAGCCAUUGUUAAGAAAUGGUGAACUAAUCAUUAUUUAAUAUGACUAUUAACCAUCAUUUGGAACUAAGCGUUAACCAAAGUGAUUGAAUCAUUAUUGAAAUAAUCAUACUUAUUUAAUUGUAAAUAUAUAUACAAUAUUCUUCAUUAUAACAGUCAAUUAUCGGUGGUUAAAUUCAUUUUUUGCCACUAUGAACAAUUUGUUGGUAAUGACCUGACCUCAUAUGCAGGUAACCCUGUUUCUUUUUCGAAUAUUUGCAAACCAAAAUUAGUAUAACUGUAAUUUACAGUUGCAGCCGAGGCUCACAAUCCAUCAUACAUGGUUAUAAAUGGUGAAGCCUCUUUGUAAUGUUUCUACUCAUGUGGCCAUGGCCAUUAAACAUAAAUGUACAUAAACAAAUUGUUCCAUAUUAUAUAUACAAUACAAUGCUUUUUAAGAAGGAACAAGGAAAUCAUCGUAUUAAACCUUUUGGUAACUUAAGAAAUAUUAAGUAGUGAUUAUUUCACCAAGGGGUCGUAGACAUCCUGAAGAACCAUGACAGUAUUAUUAUUUGUAAUGCACUUUAAAUAUCAGUUGUAAAGCGCUUUGACAAAGGUAUGCACGCUAUUACGGAGUCUGCAACAUGUCAAGAACCAGCCGGACGGAGGAGCCCUCUGAUUGGCUGUUUGUCUUCAUGAAAAGCUGCAGCAGUGAAAGCCAACGCUCUGUGAGUCGGACCCCGUCUGACUCGAGUGGAUUAGAAGGAAAACCCUGACUGUGACUCAGCUGGGACUUAAUCCACCCCGAUGGGACUAACACGCAGAACGACAGACUGAGGGACCCAGCGUCAGCCAAGAAGCAUCAAAGGUCAGUUUGAGGUUCUCUUAAUUUCAUUCCCGGGACCCCUCCACCAGCGUCAGAUGACCCGCUGCAACAACGUCCUUUGAAAUGAGCAGCAGAAUGAAAUGGAGCAUCAUUAGUGACUGCAGGAGAGGAGAAUAGCUGGAUAAGGGCUACAGCACGACUCUCUCUGCACCUACAUCUCUUCUUCCCCACAACUGGAAUAAAUAUGGUCGGUUGCAGUGUGUUACCGGUGACAGGGGCUCUUUGAGUGCCGAGAGCAUCCUCGCCUGUCUGAUGCAAAUACCAAACUCGUCGUAUAAUGACCUUUUUUCUCACACUUGCUGCAUGAAUUAUGUUUUAACACUGCUGAUUUUUCAUGAAACAACAAAGGCUCAAUGAUUUAAUGAAAAGUGCCAAGGCCUUUUUCUAUUGCAGAAUCUGAAAAUAUUUCAAAAAGAAGCGUAUUUAUUUUGUUAUUUUGUACAUUGUGUUUUGGAAGUUAUUGUCAAUGUUGCUGUUUAUUUGGCACAUGUGAGACACCCUCCUGACAAAUGGGAGGAUCACAAGUUUCCUGUGUUGCACAAAAUGUGAUAAAUAGAAGCACGGUAGCCAAAUGCAUGCAGAGGUUGCACCAGCACCACAGAAUUAAAUAUUUAUAAACUACCUACUAAUAGGAGGAAGAUACAGUACAUCAAUACACUUAUUCACACUAACCUACUCAAGCUUUUAUGUCACUGUAAUCGCCACUUUUAAUAUCUCUAUUUGCAUGAUACCCCAUAAUUGUGUACACGGUCAUUAUUUUACCAUCACAAAGAAAAACAGGGCAGGAUUCCUUCGCAUUUCAGUCAUAAUGAGUUCAAAUAAAACUUUGUACUUCAAACCA
Notothenia coriiceps (black rockcod) is the source of this 2219-nucleotide long non-coding RNA. RefSeq lists it as uncharacterized. Lineage: Eukaryota; Metazoa; Chordata; Actinopteri; Perciformes; Nototheniidae. The record is from RefSeq and is a predicted model, not a curated record. The transcript is spliced from 2 exons.